This 74-nucleotide transfer RNA is filed under the name Leptolyngbya sp. NIES-3755. RNAcentral describes it as "tRNA-Gln". It matches the Rfam family "tRNA". Rfam says of the family: Transfer RNA (tRNA) molecules are approximately 80 nucleotides in length. Their secondary structure includes four short double-helical elements and three loops (D, anti-codon, and T loops). The record is from RNAcentral. Lineage: Bacteria; Bacillati; Cyanobacteriota; Cyanophyceae; Leptolyngbyales; Leptolyngbyaceae.
UUGCCCUGUGGUGUAGCGGUAGCAUCUCUCACUUUGAAUGAGAAGAGUCAGGUUCAAAUCCUGGCAGGGCAAUC